ACCACUCAAGCAAGGUAAUGUAAUACUGUAGUAGGUGUUACCGUAUAAGAGGAAGAUUAUCAGAAUGACCGUUGUACCCUCUUCUUCUACAAACUUCACUGGACUUUUGAUUCUUGUAAUUUGUAAAUAAGACAAAACACAGGGGGUUCUUUAUAAAGGAUAACGCCGGAUAGAAGCUUGACUUCGGCACGGCAGUGAGAAUCUGAACGCCAGACGGAAGCAAACGUUGUUCUUUUUUUUUUAUUGAAAACAGGAAAAUCAUUCUCGCGAAGUUGUUUUUCUUCGAAGUCUUCCUACGAAAGCAAUUCCAUCUUCUUCUGUAAUUAUUUAUAAUUUCUUUGAAAUUAUUUAUAAUUUGUCCAGUUUUUGAUCUUCAUCUAAUCUGAAAAAUAAUGGCGGAGAUUAGUCAGAGAGAAAGAAAGAGAGAAGGGCUAAGAAGAAGCUAAGAUGUCAAAAUAUCUUUAUACGAUUGAGUGUGGAAUGACUGGAAUCCUGAUCAAUCUAUCACGGCGGAGAUUAGAUAGUCAGAAAGCGCGUUUUAAGUCUGAACGCGGUGUAAGAAAUUGAAGUGUCAGCCAAUGAUUCGAGCUUUCAUUCGUGGAAGAGAAAGAAGGUGUUUCGGAUAAAUCGAAAGUGAAAAAUUGGUAUUUAUUUGAAGAUCUGAACUGUUAAUUUAAUCGUUUUUUUUUUGUGAUUUUUUUUUCUGAGACAGAUAGAGGUUGGACUUUGGAGAUUUGAUUGAUUCAGAGAACUGGAAUAAUUUAUUUCGAGGGUGUUUUGGUUGUUUUCUUCUUGAUCCGUUAGGAUUUAUUAAGGGAAUUGACAGUUGGAGAUUGGGGUUCGCUGGAGCUUUUGUCGAUUGAGAGAUUUGGAAGGUUUUGCAUUUCUGUGCAUGAAUGAGGUGAAAUCAAUUGAGACCUGUGAAAGAACAAGGAAGUUAAAGUUGGAUAGGUUCCGAAAUAGAGAGGUGGUUAGAAGGUGAGCAUGUGAGUGACAGAGUAAUGGGUGAUGCAAUACGCGAUCGGCAAGGGGCCGUUGAGAAUUCUUCGUCGAAGCCAACUGAUCCGGCUUCUUCUCAGACUGCAAUUGUGAUAGCAGCUGCAGAGGGUGAAAGUGUUAGUGGUGAAGGUGAGUAUUCGAAAACUUCGUUGGGGCAAACUGAUCCGGCUCCUUCCCAGACGGUAAUUGUGAUAGCACCUGCAGAGGGUGAAAGUGUUAGAGGAGAAAGCGGAUAUUCGAAAACUAAGGCCAAUGUGCUAGAGACAAGUAAGGUGUCUACAGAAGAACGGAGAACAAAAGCUCCUGAGGCGGAGAAGCAUGCGUGUGUUGUCGAUAUUAAAUGCGGGGAUGGAGAGCUGAGUAGCGAAAAUUGGGAGGGAGAGAAAGUUUGCAGGAUCUGUCACUUAAGUUCAGGCUUUGAUCACCCGGCCGAGGUUUCGGAUCUUAUCACGCUUGGUUGCGGUUGCAAAAGCGAACUUGGCAUUGCACAUCGUCACUGUGCGGAGGCCUGGUUUAAGUUAAGAGGCAACAGGGCAAUCAUCAAGGAUGAAAACCAGUAUCUUGAAUGGGAGGAAGUCCCUUGAUCUCUGGCAAACAUCUUGAUUAGGAGAUCAUAAAAUUUCUCAUUUUAUUGUGAGCUUGUCAACAUUUAUCAUCUUAUUCUGUACACAAAACCCGGUGCCCUUUUUCCUUAAAAACAAUUUUGCAAAUUUUAGAACUGCUAUCACCGUCUGUACAAAUUUUGAAAAGGUUCUUAGUCAUGCAGGUAAAAUGUAAAAUGCCAGAUUCUUGAAAGUAAGCAGAUAAUUACUUCUUUUACAGCCAAUAUCCACUUAUUUUGCAGAAUUACAGUCCUCAGCCCUUGUUUCUCCACUAUUUCUCUGUGUUAAAGGCAAAUUAGACCAGUUUCCCAUAACAUAGUGCUGCAUUAACUGCAUUCACUCAAUUACCAUAUAUAAGGGCCAUUUAUCUUCACUUAUAUUCAACAUGUAAUUGUAUACUUAAAGAUUUAAUGAAGAGCUUAAUAUUUGAAAGUUCAAGUUUCAAGGUAUAAUGUAGCCUAAAUUGAUUGUGGCUGGKGGUUUUCAUGUGCACAAAUUUUGUAGUUGAUGCUUGAUUGUAAAAACUAUUCUAGUUUGUUGUCAUUUAGUGCUAGAUUUUAUUCCAUUGGAGUGUUAGCUUUAUUACGUGUUAAUUUAUAACUACCAAUAUGGAAAAUAGUGGGUGGGGUUAGUUGUAGUUGUGUAGAUGUUGAUACCUUAUCCUUAUUUCAUUGACAGGGGGACAAGGUUCCAUUCUGUACAUUGUUGUGCUGUUCUUUCUUGUAUUGUGCAAGCAGAGCAGCAUCAGUUGAGUUGUUGAAUUGCACUGUUUUGUUAAUCCCAAUUUAUGUGUAUUUUUCCCAUUUAUUUGGGUAUGUUGGUUUAUAUAGGAAAUGUGGAAUUAACAAACACAGGAACUAGAAACCAUUUGUCAAAUUACAAGUAGAGAAAAAACAGAAAGGAAGUGUAAAACAGAGCAACUCAAAGUACAUACAGAGGUUUACGUGGUUUGGCUUAAAUCCUAUGUCCAUGGGCGUCAGAGGAGAACAAAUCAACCAAAGAAUGGUAGAGAUUUCAGUCACAGCAUUCACAGCCUUUCUCAAACCCUUGCUCCCAAUGCACCUGAAGCUCCCUUUCUCUCAGUGUCUCACGCACUCCUGCACUUACUCUUUUUUUGGCACUCAAGAUACAACGUUACCAUGCAAGAUACAAAAUAGUAUUUAUAUGAGAAACCCAGAAACAGGUCGGCCCCAUAAAGCGGAGAAUGUAUGUGACAGGUAUUGUGAGUACUCCAAAAUCCCUGGUGUAAAUCCAGUGUGCUACAGUUCCAGGCUAACUGCGAGUCUGGAUAACCAGUGUACCCAGAUGACGCUUGCGUCCCACCUAACUGCGAUUCUAGGAUAACCUGCAAUUCUGGAUGUGCUGCAAGUCCAGGAUAUGCUGCGAUUCCCAUAUGUCUGUGGGGCUGCUUUUAAGGAAUGCAUUACCAAAAGAUAUCAAGUAAAACUCUAGUGUGGAACAUUUCGUGGGAAGGUGGGAUGAGAAAGGGAAAUGGAGAUGUCAGUUGAGCACACUUGAGAACAGUUAAGCAUAUUUUAGCCCUACACUAACAGUUUCAAGGCACGAAGAAGUCAUUUGUGAAAUAAAGCAUAUCUGCCUAAAUAUUUGGGGAAUUGAUUUGACAUUGUUAUUUGUAUGUAUAGCAAUUUUGAAAAGGCUAGCUAUACAAAAAGGAAAUGAAAAAAAGGGUUUCAGGUUCUAUAGUAAUCUUAAAGAAUUUUUUUAUUUAAUUAUUUAUUGAUUUUGGACCUUUUUUAAAUGUUAUUGAGGUUUCUUCUUUACAGGUUAGCCACUCUUUUCCUGACUCCCAGAGAUUUCCCUUACUAUCAUCAUCUUGUAAACUAAGCCCUAUGAAUGGGGAAAACAGGAUGUGGAAACCUUGUGGGUCUGUAAUGUUGGGAAAGAUUUUGGCUGUUUGAAAAAAAAAAAACAAAAAAGAGUUUGGGCUGUUUUUGAGUUUCUUGUGCAUGACAAUUACCAUGGAAAUGGGGUAAAAGAGUUGCAACCAAAAUUCUUUUGGCCAAAAAGAUAAGCAAGGGACUUAGUGGGAUAACAUAUCAUGUAGGGGAAGCUCCCAAAUAGCCUGGGUUGUUUAACAACCAAAAAUUCCCCAUAAUAUUGAUUUAGGUUUGAACUCACAUCAAUUUUUCCUGGGCACUCUUCUUAGUUUACCAGAAGAUCAGAAACAAAUCUUCUGGUUAUAUAUGAAGGCUUUAAUCUUAGUGAAAAUGGAGCACUCUGGUAUCUCAUUAUUUUUUGACCUGAGGACCACCAUAGUGAAAAAUUAGAGAGGUAUCUCUGUUUUUCUUUAUUAUUUAACAUGUAGAUCAUGUCUACAUAUAUUGGAUUAUUUGGUUGAAGAAAUAAUUAUAUUUUUUUGUUGUAAUUUUGUAGUUUCGUUUCUAUACUUCAUUUGUGGUUAUCAUGUUACUAACACUGGAUACCUCAACAAGAGUAUCAAUUACUGGUGAUCCAGCUUAUUCAGUAAAGGCCAGCUACUUGGGUUUCUAUGGGGUCAUUACUUAUGGAAAUUACCUUUUUGCACACUAUGAGAAACUUGUUUAUUAAGAUGAAUUGGUGCACAAACAUUUGGAACAAUCUAAUAGAACAGAUGAAGACAGGUACCUGAUCAUGCCAAUGAUCAAAGAAAUAGAUGUGCUAUACCAGCCAGUAUGAUUGAUGGAUGUAUUAUGGAUGCCUCACUUCUUGGCAUGAGAGUUAAAUGUAGAAGGGGCAACUGGCAAUGAAAUGUAUUUCACUCCUCUAGUAUGAAGGAUUUCCAUUCUGAUGGUGUUGAUCUGUUGCGGUCAGCAUACAGAAUCAUAGGUUUGAAGCAAGGAAAGAACAUUUUCAAUGUUGAAAUCUGGAUCCUGGAGGAUGUUUUAGCACAUCCAUGAUAGGUAGAAAAUUGUAGGUUGGAAAAUUUUCUGAUUGAAUAUGAAGAUCUGUGAUGCAAUCUUAUGUUUUCCUGAAUAUGCAAUACAAACGUAAGUUUCUUGAUGAGCAUGGUUAUUUUUUGGGUACUGGUAUACCUUUGACAAUGUUGAAAUCUGGAUAGUGGAGAUUGUUUUAGCACAUUUAUGUUGGGUUAGAUGAAAUGUAGACCAGAGUGGAUAUUCUGAUUGAACAUGAACAUCAGUGAUGCAAUCUUUUACUUGCCUGAAUAGGCAAAAUAAAUAUAACUAGUUUCUCAAUAAGCAUGUUUGUUUUGGGUUUAUAAAACUGGUAAACUUUUGACAAAGUAGAUCAUGGGUUAGGGAUUUAAAUAUUUUAUUCCGUUAAGAUCACCAUAGUGAAAUACUCUGCAUGAAAUUCUGCUCAACUACAACUACCUUUUGUGGGAGAGCAUGUUUAAUCCUGUUUCCCACUUUUUUCUGUCUCUUCUUUUCGGUUUCUGUAUCUGUUUGACGUAAACCUUUUUGGAGAUGGAGGAGGUUUUGGAUCCUUUCUUGGCAGAAUAGAAAGAUUUCUCCUCUUUUGUCAACCACUAGAAAAAAGGUUCGAGGCAAAUAAUAAUGUCAUUCUAGCAAGACACUGAAUACGCAUAUCUAGACACAAAACCUAGUCCCAAGCCCAGAAAUUUGCAGACCAGGCCAGACCAGGCAAGAAUGGAAAGAUUGCUCCUCUCUUGCCAAGCACUAGAAAAAAGGUUUGAGGCAAAGAAUAAUGUCAUUCUGGCAAGACACUGAAUACACAUAUCUAGACACCAAGCCUAGUCCCAAGCCCGGGAAUUUGCAGGCUAGGCCAGACCAGUCCAGGUUAGAACUAAUCACUCCUACUUCAAACUUAGCUAUAGUAGAGGUUCAAUUAGUAACCCUUACUGUCAUUAAAUCUAAGUGAUGUUUACCUCUGGCUCUUAUUGUUGAUAUUUCUUUCAUUCCACACACUCCAAAGUGUAACUGUCUUCGUGCACCUCCACAUCAUUUUGGUUCAAUGGUACUUUAUGAUUUGAUUGAUGAGCUAGCUCUUGUGUUGUAACAUAUAUGUAUAUAUUUUUUUUAUAUUGAUCCUAAAAUUCUGUGAAGCAAUUACUUAUCAAAAAGAAAUUCUGUGAAGCAACUGAAAGAGCAUAUUAUUUAUAUUUCUUAAAGGAACUGAUGGUCAAAACAGAAAGCUGAAGUUGCAGCCAAUUACUCUGUCUUGUAACACAAGUUGUUAGUAUUUGAUAAUUAGACAAGUAUGGUAUUUUGGUAAUUGAAUAUAAUUCAAACUAGCCAUUGACCACAAUGUUGCACGGGCAUGGACACUGGAAUCAGAACCUAACAUGUGUCUGGGAGUCUGACUUGGCAAGGUAAAACAAGGACUUUGUGAACACGUCUAUAGAAAGUAUAAACCAAGAUUUUUUUUUGAACUAUGGCAUUUCAUAUCUAUGGGAAAAGGUUUAGAAGUUUAUGUUUGUUAACAACAUUCUAUUGGGAAAGAUGGCAUUUAUUGCAUAUAUUAGCUAGUCAUUUAUAUCAAAUAAGCAAGGAGAUAAAGGAAAAUGUUAUGUAGAAGUAUCCGUCAAGAAUUCUUAUAGUGUCAAAUCUGAUGUGUCCCUGUCAGAGACACUUCAUCUGUUUGCAGAGUCCAUGCAUCAUUGUUAGUCCAUUACUAGAAGUAUUUCAGUUAUAACCACCAAGUGUAACAUGACCUAUAUGAUAUUUUAAUUAAUUGAAACAAUAUAUUUCCUUUAUUACAUUAAAUUUCAGUCACUACUGAACUUACAAGAAAUCUAUUAUGCUCUGGUUACUGAUAUGACUCUACAAUUUCAGUCAACAUCUCCUAUAUGUCUAAAAUUAUUUGAAUAUGAAAAUGUAGUUUCAAAUAGGUUACUCUUGGCAAUAUUUCUAUGAUAUUCUAUGUCAUUACACCAUGAGUGCUAUUGAUUGAAGGCUUCCAA
Non-coding RNA from Nelumbo nucifera (sacred lotus), 6483 nucleotides. The record is from RefSeq and is a predicted model, not a curated record. NCBI's taxonomy places the organism in Eukaryota, Viridiplantae, Streptophyta, Magnoliopsida, Proteales, Nelumbonaceae.